Molecule: long non-coding RNA, 4869 nt
Filed under: Homo sapiens (human)
Lineage: Eukaryota; Metazoa; Chordata; Mammalia; Primates; Hominidae
Description: long non-coding RNA NONHSAT173002.1
Source: RNAcentral
CUGGCCAACAUGGUGAAACCCCAUCUCUGCUAAAAUACAAAAAUUAGCCAGGCGUGGUGGCGGGUGCCUGUAAUCCCAGCUACUUGGGAGGCUAAUACAAGAGAAUCUCUUGAACCCAGGAGGCAGAGGUUGCAGUGAGCUGAGAUCGUGCAACCGCACUCCAGCCUGGGUGACAGAGCCAGACUCCAUCUCAAAAAAAGGAAAAAGAAAUACCCAGAAUGUUACAUGUGCACUCAAGCACUGAAUUGAAUGAAGUACUGGUUUUGGUGGUAACUACAGCUUUCCAUUGCUUAAAACCCUUUCAGGCUGGACGUGGUGGCUCAUGCCCAUAAUCCCAAUGCUUUGGGAGGCUGAGGUGAGAGGAUCAUCUGAUCCAGGAGUUCAAGACCAGCUGGGGCAACGUAGCAAGACCCCAUCUCCACAAACUUACAAAAAAUUAGCUAAGUAUGGUGGUGCAUGCCUGUAGUCCCAGUUACUCCAGAGGCUAAGGCAAGAGGGUUGCUUGAGCCUGGGAGGUUGAGGUUGUAGUGAGCUAUGAUCAUGCCACUGAACUCCAGCCUGUGUGACAGAGCGAGGCCCUGUCUCAAUCAAUCAAUCAAUCAAUCAAUCAAUCAAUCCUUUCAAAAUAUCUUAUUGCUGUUUAGUUUCCAUUUUCCAGGUUUUUAAUGAGGCUAAGGAGCUUUUCAAAGGUUCACUCUUCCUGCCUAGCCAUUUGGGCUGUGUAGUUCAAGAGGAUCUGUAGCAUCUUUUUACAAAGAAGAAGGUUAAGGCGUUAGGGGAGGAGCAGGGAGAACAGGAGGAAGGAGCUCCCAGGCCCUGUUUUCAGCCCUUCCUUCCCCUCCUCUUUUCUUUUUUGAGGCCUGCUCCAUUCUCUUAGGGCCUGACCCUGACCUGCCAACCCCAGAUAAGGUGUUGUGACUAGGCCCUCCUUCCCCCAGGGUUCCCCCUGGAGAGACCCAAGGCAAUGGAUGGAGGAGCAUUGGCCCCACCCCAUCUCCUCACCCCACUUAAGGGAACAGCAUCUGAGGACAGGUGGCAGCAGGUAGUGUGGCCCCACCUCACUUCACAUUGCAGGGAGCUCUGUCACUUUGCUCCUUUGUUGCAAAUGCCAUUGGAAAGGCCAGUGCUGUGCUGCCUAGUGAGGUCUUCAAGGUGUUGGCCGGAUGCUUGAAGAAAGUGGAAGCCAUGGAAGGUUGUAUUCAGGAGAGGGGCAUGGCCCCUUCUGAGCAUGUUUCCACUGGUGGGAGGCCAUAGAGAGAAUGAUAAGGAAGGAGAAUGAGGCCACGUGGAUGACAGCUAACCCCUGCUGAGAGCCCAUUCUGAGCCGUGCACUGUAUGCCAUUUACUGGCAAAAGAGCAUGAGUAGGUGGUCAAGGUCGCCCAGCUGACAAGUGACAAAGUCAGAGCCAUCACAUUUCACCUGAGAUUCCUCCCCAGUUGUUUCAGGCAUGUUCGAUUUGUUUCCUAGCAAUAACUUUGCAAGGAUGGUCCUACUGUCCCCAUUCACAGAUGGGAAAACUGAGGGCAAAUGGUAGAGCCAAGUAAUGAAUGUGUUCUGCUUGGUCUUUACUUCUCAUGGAUACUCAAGGAAGGCAGCAGGUCUGGGCAAAGAAGGAAGGUGUUUCUUCACCAGAAGCAAAAUUUGUGUUGGAAAAGGGAUCUUAGAAAAGCCCCAGCCUCGACAUUCCUGAGCUCAGCCUCAGGGCUUUAUACAUACUUUGAUGAACACUUAAUAUGUUGCAAUUUUUCUGUUCUACCACAGGGUCAGCGCAUACAGUUGUAUAGGUUAUGCACUGCACAACUCAUGGAGUUCCAUGGCCUAAACCUGAGGGACCCAUCUUGCAGUCUCUGAGAUGGUGUGGAGUGGCGUCCACAGAUGAGGGCUUUGCUGACAAGUAGCGGGGUUUGAAUCUAGUCUUGGUUACUGGGUCGAGGAGCUUUUUCUAUUCUCCUUGAUCCCAUUUCCUCAUCUGUGAAGUGGAGAUGGUAUCAUCAUCUCUUCUCCCUCGGGGACUGUCAGGAUAGCAGGAGAGAACACACGGCAUAUGGCCCUUUACACAGGGCCUGGUACUAGUGGGGCCUUGGUAGAGUUCAGUUUCUCAUACUUCUGUCUCUCUGAGUGGACUUGAGGGCAGGCAGAGGCCCUGUCUAACUCAUUCCUGCAUCCCCAGCGCCCAGCGCUGUCCUUGCACGUGGGAGGGACUAGGCACCCAUUUGCUAAGGGACCAGAGAAAUCAUGCUGGAGGCAGAGAGGGGAUUUGGGGAACACUGGGGCAGCAGGCCCCAGUCCGGCAUCCCCACCCCACCUUUUCCCUCUUGGAGACAGCCUGGUCUGAGUUAUUUCCCUUCCCGACACUUCCCUGCCUCCAGGGCACAUUUUCUCCAGGUGAGUCCACCCAGGCAGAGGGCGAAGCCAGCAGGCACAGGCUGGAUUCCUGCAGAGGCGCGCAUUUCAUUUGGCCUGCACCAUGGCUUCACAUUUUUAAAAUUAGUUGCCGAUAUUUUACAAUUUGGAGAUUUCACCUAGAAACCUGGAUUUCCAGCUAUUCUUGAAAAAUCAAAAGAUCUAGCAGCCCUGGGCCUGCAGCUGGCAGCUGGUGUGCAGCAGCCACUGUUCCUUUGUGUUGGGUAUAUGCUGCUCAGUUUGCCACCAGAUCCACCUGGUCCAAGUCCCCCUCCCUUAUGACUCCUGCCCUUCCCCUGGUGAACCUGCAACCCCUGGCUCUAUGGAGCGCCCGGGCCAUCCCACUAACCUCACAGGUCUUGGUUUGGCAAAUCAUGACCGUGCCAGGGUCUUUGCCUGUGGAACGAGGAUCUGUGGGGGUGCCUUCCAAAUGUGCCAACCAAUGCUCACGACCAAGCCUUCAGUGUAACGAUCUGCCCACUUUCUCCUCCUCCCCCUGCCUCCGUGAGCCAGCGAAGCUGCUGCCCUGUUUGGGGACACAAACAUACACACGUUAUUAGAACCUCAGAUCAAAGGCGGCGUCCUACAGCCUGCCUCUCAAUGGUCCCUUUGUGCAGGCGGAAGCCUGCAAGAGAGUUAGAAUCCAGGGAGAACAGGAGGGGCUGGAGGGGGGCUCAAAACAAAGAUACUUGUCACCCUGAGAAGUCCGCAGAAAUGAUGUUAAAAGAGGCGCCAGGUGGAGGAUGUACCCCGGCUCGCUGCUGGAAGAUGCAAAUGGAGAAUUCUCAGUUCUGCAGAGGAGAAGAAAACACCCCUGUCCCUUGUGGUUUCAGAGGAAGGGGUGACAGUGGCUGCCCACCCCCUCCGCCAGCAGCAGCCUGCGUCUGCCUUCCUGGCCUCGCCAGGGGUGGAUGUGAUACUGGCAAGGGCUUCUUGGAACGAAAAGGGUUGGUUUGAACAAAGAAGUGCUUUGAGAGUUCAGAUGUGGAGCCAGGAACCCUGCCUGCCAUGGGAUGCAGGGAGAGGGGGUGGCGAGCAGCCCACAGCGACCCCAAGAAGCUGCUCCAACCCCUGGGACUAUGGAGCUCUACAGCUGUAGAGACCACCAGGAAGUGGACUGCAGGCCCCUGGCCUCUCCAUUCAGAUUCUGCAAAGAGAUCCUGAUGGGUUGGGCCAAUGGGUCAGGCAUCCAGUCAGCUCUGGCUAAGGGGUGAAGGAGUCAGGUGUUACCAACGUGGUGGCAGGGGCCACCUUGAAGCUGUGUUCUGUGCCAUGGAAGAAGGAAGAGGAGGAGGAAGCUAAGCUGGAAGGGAAGUCUAGGCUCCUGGAGUCAGUAGUUGGAAUCUCAGAUGGGAAGAAACCUUAAAAGUCAUCUGGUCCAGUAUUUUCCAAAGCAUGUUCCAUGAACUUGUUUUCCAGAAAUGGUUUCCUGGUCUGGUGAGUGGGAGUUCGAUGAGAGUGGCAGUUGUCUAUUUUGUUCACCGAUGUAUCUUAGGUGACUAAAACAAUGGUUGUCACAUGGCUGGCCCUUCAUAUUUGUUUCCAGAUGGAAGACUCUCUUUCUAGUGGUGGAACAUUAGUUUUGCACUGUGUUGGGACAACCUGAUGUAGUGAAAACAAGCCUGGGCAAUGAAAUCAACAGAUUGGAGUUCAGUUCCUAAUUGGGUCAUGGAUGAACUUUGUGACCUUGGGCAAGUGAGUUCACCUCUCUGAGUUGAAUAGGUUCCCUCCUUUCUAGAACAAGUAUGAGUCUGCAUCAGAGAGUGGUUGCGAGGGCUACACAUGAUGGAGGAUGAGGACUGGCACAUCAGAAGUACUGAAUGAAGAAUUGUAACAUAAAAAUGACAACAGUAAUAUAUUUUUGUGGUUUCAGCACUCUUCAAAUGAAACCACCUGGCCAACAGGAUUUUAGUGUACCUGCUUAUAACAUUAGCCUUCGUUUCCACCAAAAAGGGUGUUAAAAAAGGAAGCUUGGAACAUGAAAGUAAGACACUUGGAUGAAGAGAUUUAUGACUCUGGGGGGCUGUGAAUUCCUAAUGUCCUUUUGAGACAUGUAGAUCUUCCAGAGCGAUGCUGCCCAAUGCAGUAGCCACUAGCCAAGUGCAAAUGGUCACUUGCAAUAUGGCUAGUCUUUGAGAUGUGUUUUAAGUGUAAAAUACACACUGAAUUUUAAAGACUUAGCGCAAUACAAAGAAUGUAAAAUAUCUCAUUAUAUCUUGAAAUUAUACUAUUUUGGAUAUAUGGUGUUCCCUUGGUGUCUUUGGGGACUGGUUCCAGGAUCCUAGAGGAUACCCAAAUCCCCAGAUGUCAAGUCCGCUAUAUAAAAUGUCCUGUAGUAUUUGCAUAUAACCUACACACAUCCUUCUGAAUACUUUAAAUCAUCUCUAGAUUCCUUGUAAUUCCUAAUACAAUGUAAAUGUUAUGUAAAUAGUUGUUAUACUAUAUUAAAAAGUUUUUUAUUCUUU